ACCUACCAAACCCUACCCAGAUCCAAUCGAUCCCCUCCUCCCAUUGCACCGCUUCUCCCCCCAUCUCCUCGCCGCCACCACUGACGGCGCUCCCCUUGAUCCCUCCCACCGCCGUCUCCCUCCCUCAGAUCGAGCUCCCCCUACCCUCCCCCUCCCACCUCUCAAAGCUCCCGCGUCCCAGCGCCGCUGCUGACUACCAUGCCGUCGCCGCCUACCACGCCGUCGCGGCCGGCCACGACGGCCAGUACCCGUACUACUCCUACGGCGGUGGCGUCGAUGCCUUGUGCCGUUGUGGCAGUCGAGUGACGGCGGCCAUUCCCACCAACGAGGGCUUCUUCGAUGACAUCUUCGGCGCCCGUGCACAUCAGGUGCAGUCGAGUCCAGGUCCAAGUCCACCAAGUCGUCGUCGGUGAUCAGCUCCGUCCGCUCCGCCUUCCGGUCACCGGCCACCAGCGGUAGCACGGCAACGCUGCCCUCUCCUCCUUCACGUCCAAGCUCAGGUGAACCAGUCGUCAGGUUCCACUUCUUGGUGGAGCAAUGUGCGCGUGCACCUGGCAUUUCUUCUACAACUCAGUGUCUCUCGAGGUAACAUAUUAACCCGAAGGCAAUGCAGUUGCAUUCCCUUUUCUACUAAUCAUCGAUAUCAGCUACUCCGCAGGACUCAACCGUAUCGUACACCGGGCGUCGUCGUGUAGAUUUUGCCCACCGUGUAGAUUUUGGCCCUUCAUUCCGGUUCGAGAAUUCACUGUAUGACUGUCAUUGAGAAACUGCAUGCAUGGACUAUGCAAUGCUCUUUAAUGUAGAAGCUCUGUCACUCUGGUCUAUAUUACUCUACUAGUCAGUGUCACAUUUCAAUUGAGCCGUUAGGGCAAGAAAAGGAAAUUGUCAGGCAACUACUCCGUCCAUACUUCCAAAAACUUCUUGUAUUUUGAUACAGAGGCAGUAGUUACUAGUGUUUUUAUCAAAGCUUUACUAGUGUUUAUGAGUAAAACUGUCGUGUCUAUUUCUCUAAAUGUUCAACAAAUAAUUUUAAAAACUUACAAGUUAUGCAGUUUCGUUGUGGUUGAUUGACAUCCCUGUGAAGAUAAAAUACAGGACCAACUUUUAGCUUUUUGUGAAGCAAAAACAUUUGGUAAAAAAAUCGUAGAAACCCCCAAUAAGUCGAUUUAUAGUUGAUAGAAGAAGUAUGAUUUGGUGUUGGUGUGUGUGAACUUCUGACAUUUUGAUCUCUGAAUGCUAGUUGGACAUUUUGAUAUCUGAAUGCUAGUUUGACAUUUUGAUAUCUAAAUCCCUUUGUCCGCCCCUCAUCUUUUCUUCUUCUGCUCUCUGUCUGACCCCCUUCUAGUUAAUUUGGUACAGUGACCUACUCCCCUGCUUCCUAUGUUAAUUUGGUGUGUGAUGUGGAUGUGAUGUAUUUUAGGCAUGAUUAAAUACGUACUUUGGUUCCACUCUGACUGAAACAACUUGUUGGUUCAGUUUCUUUUAUGAAGAACAAAUAUGAUGAACACCUUUUCUUUUCCUUUUUAUUCAAGAUUCAUUUCCAAUUAUAAACCAAACUGAAAUUGCAAAUAGUCUAGAAUGAAUGAAGCAGAGAGUCCUUCCUUCUUUGGUAGCUGGCACAAUUCCUUGUACAAUUCCUUCUCAAGGUGCUGGUGUUUGUGGAGGUGAUUGACCUCUUUUUUCACUCUCUGUAUCAAGGUGCAGCUAAUGAGCAUUGGUAGGUGUUGUUCGGUGUACCUUGACAUGAUCUCCAGGACAUGAAAUCGGCAACAGGAUUUGCAGAGUACAAGGGUGGGCUCAUCAAGGUGUGUGGUGGUAGGCUCGCUCGGCCCCAGCAUCUUUUGUUGAACGGACAUGCCGCCUCUUCAGCAUCGGCUACAUGAGAGCCAUGGUGAGCUCUCUUCUCCCUGCCUCCGUUUGCUUGCUCUGAGCUCGUGCUUGUGAGAAACUGCAUGUCACCUCGCUUGAACUCCCUAGCUACACCACACCUUGUUUAAUACACUAGUCAUGCUCUUGCAUACAUGUUUUGUUGGACGAAAAAAUGUACAAUGAUCUGCUCCUUGGGAUAUUAAUUCUUAUGAUAUAUCUUGUAAUUUACAUUAUUGUAAAAGUUAAACCCACUACACGUGUUAGCAGAAAUUGUUUUAGUUUGUCAUACAUAAUUGCCUAUGCUUGUUGGUAGCUAUUAAGUGUAUAAUUCACCAUGGAAGCAUAGUAAUUUCAUGGACAUCAUAAGAUUACAUUUAUGUUCUGAACUUAAAUAUUUAAACUCAGUGUUUAGAUUCUGUAUCUGUAAUCAUAAGCUUCACUUGUAGUCUGGUCGUUCUUAGACAUAUUAUUGUUUGAGUUAAGUUCACCGAACAAUACUUAAAAUUUUAGGAAUCAAUGAUGCCGACCUCCUUGCAGAGUUGUGCCAGGUACCAAAUGAUGACCUACUCGCAUAGUUGUGAUAGUUACCGAUGACCUCCUCAUACUCACCGGUAACAAGUCUGGUUUCACAUUUGCUGGGCACUAUGCUUUUGGUGUAUCAUAUGGCUGGGAGAAAACACACAGUUUCCUGCAUUGUCGGAUAAUGUCAAUUUGUUCUGUAAGAUCUGAGUUUAUUGUACUAUAAAUGGUGAUAAUAUUGUGCCUAGUAUGUCCACGACCUUUUACAUUGUAUGGAUAAUUGGAUAGACUGAACUACCGUAUUCCCCUUUAUACUCCGCAGUCAAACUCAUAUGAUAGAGUAGAUAUUUUCUACCUGUAGAAUCAUGGAGGUAUUAACUACCUGAUGUAGUCAUAGAACAACAUCAUGUUUGAAUAUGCCAAAUGUUUGGGCCUAAUGAUGUUCUGUAUUAUGGCAGCUGCUUUAUUACUUUCUUUCUAGGUUUAUGUGCAGUGUUGGAUUAAUGAUUUAAGUGCAUUAGCGGUUUAUCUUCUUGUUCACAAGUCUGUUUGCAUUGGAUGUACAUAACUGUCAUUUUUACAUCUUGCAUAUUUAACAUACAUGACAAUAGUAGUAGGUAUUGAAAUAUAUGCGAAGGUAGAAGCUAUCGCUGCUGCCUUGUGGGUCGUAAUUCUUUCUCUCCAGACGCGUAUACUGCCUGAUGUAUCGCUCAUGCUCAUAUUCUGUAUUGAGAUAGUCCUAAUAUCCAUCGGGUUGUAGAUUGAUUUCCCCUGAAAAAGCUAUGCUUCUUUCCUUAGAUGAUAAGCAUGUUCGACAGCUAUGUGGAAUCCUUAAGAUAAAUGGUCUUUAGUUUCUUUUGGUGCAUCUGCGUGCACAUAACAGUCCGUUAGUUUCUCUUUAUAUAAUGAAGAAAAUAUGUUGUUAUCAUUUGUUUAUUAUUAUCUAUCAUCUGUAGAUUGAUUUUUAGGCCAUCAGUACUUCUAUGUAUAAUUUGUAGUCUCUUGAAUGAAUAAUUUUUCUUUAGGUGUCAUGUGUCUUGUGUUACUACAUACAUCUGGCGUGAAGUACAUGGUUCCAGAACUAUGGUAACCCGUAGUUUGCUCUACUGGUGAUAGUAGGAUGAUGGAAACAUCACUACUAAAUGUAGUUCAUGUUUCUUCAACUAAUCAUCAUGUACUAGAGUUUCUCUUCUUCUUGCUACUGUUUGGUUUUUGACGUCACUAGCUUGUACUGAAACGUGCAGACUUUACCCCUUGCUAGAUCCUUUGGUGGAGGUGACCCAUGUGAUGGUGAUUCGCUCCAGCAGUUUCGGUCUGACACUGGUGGUGCUACACUACUACUACUCCUAUGAUGGCGACGCAUUGGUAGGCUCGGCUGCCUCCCUUUGUUGUCACUGUGAUGGUGAAGCUCAGCCUAGGCUACAACCACUUACGAUGAGCUCCUCAGGUCCCCUUCUACCCCUCCUACUCGCUCCAUGAUUCUUUGCUUUGCCUUUGUGAGGUGUAAUUGUUUAAUUUUUGUCAUAGUGGAGCAUUGGAUGAUAUAUUGUAUCUGUCAUGAGGUACAUGGUUCAUGGAUAUGCCAACCUGCAGCUUGUUGUACUAGUGAUAGUAGGAUAAUGCAAGUUUUGACAAUCAAUACAUAUUCCUGCAUGUUAGUGUCUCUCCGUGUAAGUACUAAUUCUGGUGAGAAGAAUACAAUUAUUAUUUAACCAGUCCAGAUUUUUAACAUUUGAUGUACUUCCAAGGCACACAGAUCUCUACUCUUCUACAUAAUCCACACUUUGUUCUGGAAGCAAGUCAGUUGUACCAUGCUGUUACAUCACAACAAGGUGUCAUUUGAUGUAGUGCUGCUGUUGAUGCUCCCUAGAGUCUAGAUGUAGAUGUACUGCUGCUGUUGAUGCUCUAGCUGUAGCCUGUACUAUUGUUGUUUUGCUUCUUCAGUGUUAGUUUCGCUACUACUAGCUGUUGGCUGCUACUAGUUAGUACUUAGUAGUUACUGCUAGCAGUGCUAGUAGCUGCUGCUGCUUCUAUUGCUUGUGCAAUUGUGCUAGUAGCCAGUAGAUGUUCAUUGCAUGACCUGCACUCGUAGCUAGUAGAUGUGCUGGUACCUGUACGCUAGUAUUGUUGGUGUGUUCAAUGUCUUAGUAGAACAUCAUCAGGUUGAUGUGUUGUAGUCAAGUUUUGGAUGUUUUGCCAUGCCAUGCUUAGUGUUUACUAAACUGAGGUAUUUGAGCAUUUAUGUGUAAUUUCUAUUCUCUUGAAUGGAUAUUUUUUUAUUGGCAAUCAUUUAAAUUCCACUGUAUCUCACUUAUAAUUUAUGCAGAUCAGGAUCUAAUAUUAUUGAGGUUGUUGUUGUUGUGAGCAUGAUCAGAAGAAGCCUGGAGAUGUGCACAAUAGUUUUAGUUGAUGUUGCCACCAUGUUUUGGUGCAUGUGUAUUUAUUUUUGAUUGUAUGCAAACUUGAUGGAUCAUGCAGACGUGUAUGUGCUGUUGUGAGUUUCAUUGAUUCUGGAUUUGAUCAUUUAAUUGAGAGAACUAUUGAUUGUUUGCUGUUGAAAUGUGUAACAGAAAUCUGUG
This 4967-nucleotide ribosomal RNA is filed under the name Triticum aestivum (bread wheat). RNAcentral describes it as "partial small subunit ribosomal RNA". Lineage: Eukaryota; Viridiplantae; Streptophyta; Magnoliopsida; Poales; Poaceae. The record is from RNAcentral.